CCCUUUUCUUUUCUCCAGCUGGCACGGGAUGAGGAGGUCACUCUGAGUGCAGUGUUUUCCAUUCUCCUGUUUAAGAAGCAUCCCCCGGGGCUCCCUCUGCCUGUGUGACUGGCCAGCAGGGGGCGGUGGUCACUUUCUAUCCACUUCUCAGGCACUGUGAGACAGGCUGCAGAAUGGCGUCCAUGUUUUCCUCCAGCUCAUCCCAGCCUGGCGUG
Mauremys reevesii (Reeves's turtle) is the source of this 215-nucleotide long non-coding RNA. RefSeq lists it as uncharacterized. The record is from RefSeq and is a predicted model, not a curated record. The transcript has 3 exons. Lineage: Eukaryota; Metazoa; Chordata; Testudines; Geoemydidae.